CCAGUCGGCAAGCCGCCUCGCGGGCUGCCUCGUGGGCACCACCCGUGCCACGAGGCGGCGGCCGGCGAAGGCAGUGCCCAGGUGGCGGCAGCUGACGACAUGGAGCGUCCGGCGCGCGUGGAUCCCCUUGGGCCGGUGGUGGUCGAAGGGGUGGUGGGCGAUGAAGGAGGUGCUGGCGCUGACCGUGUCCACCAUCAUCAUGGCUGCCGCUGGAUCCGCCCUGCUCCUCUGCUCCGCGGCGACCUUCAUCCAGAGCCCCACCGACGUGUUCG
Molecule: long non-coding RNA, 272 nt
Filed under: Hordeum vulgare
Lineage: Eukaryota; Viridiplantae; Streptophyta; Magnoliopsida; Poales; Poaceae
Description: long non-coding RNA (HVUL_LNC005664)
Source: RNAcentral